CGUUGUCCGGAAUUAUUGGGCGUAAAGAGCUCGUAGGCGGUCUGUCGCGUCUGCUGUGAAAACUCGGGGCUUAACCCCGGGCCUGCAGUGGAUACGGGCGGACUCGAGUUCGGCAGGGGAGACUGGAAUUCCUGGUGUAGCGGUGAAAUGCGCAGAUAUCAGGAGGAACACCGGUGGCGAAGGCGGGUCUCUGGGCCGAUACUGACGCUGAGGCACGAAAGCGUGGGGAGCAAACAGG
RNAcentral lists this ribosomal RNA (238 nucleotides) under uncultured bacterium. RNAcentral describes it as "partial 16S ribosomal RNA". It matches the Rfam family "Bacterial small subunit ribosomal RNA", at positions 539 to 776 of the family's 1533-position model. The record is from RNAcentral.